This 67-nucleotide transfer RNA is filed under the name Marmota monax (woodchuck). RNAcentral describes it as "tRNA.Ala". The record is from RNAcentral. Lineage: Eukaryota; Metazoa; Chordata; Mammalia; Rodentia; Sciuridae.
GGUUGUGGCUCAGUGGUAGAGUGCUUGCCUAGCACAUGUGAGGCCCUGGGUUCAAUCCUCAGCACCA